Doryrhamphus excisus (bluestripe pipefish) is the source of this 720-nucleotide long non-coding RNA. RefSeq lists it as uncharacterized. The record is from RefSeq and is a predicted model, not a curated record. Lineage: Eukaryota; Metazoa; Chordata; Actinopteri; Syngnathiformes; Syngnathidae.
AAAUCAUGUGAAUGGCAUCUGCCUUUAAAUGCCGAUCAACUGUUGCGAGAACCAUUGAAGCCAACGGCGACCCUUUCCUGCAGGGUAGUGUCUUACCUUAGCUAACGUCUUUGGCAGUGUCGUUCUCCCGCCUUCCCCUCGAAACAAAAGCAAACACUUCUGCCUUGUGGAACUUAACGACUGCUAACGCAUGCCAUCGAAACUAUCUUACGGGGUCGGCUAAGCUAAUAACCCGAGGUGGGUCUCAGCUUGGAAGUCUCAUUUUCUGGAAGUCUCACGAGUUGUCUUCAAAACUGCACCACACUGCUGUCCCCUCCCAUUGAAGAUAAUUACUCCUUCACUGAGUAUCACUGCGAGGGACAGAGUGAGAGGUCGAUUCAUUACGCAACAAUCAGGCUCGCCACACUCACUGGAAGUGAAAGAUAUCCCCUGGAAGAAUGUUAAUGGGGGGGGGGAGGCACUGGGGGGCAAUUCUUUGCCAAGUCACCCGCACGGAAGCAUGCAGCGGGGACAAGCAAAAAAAAAAAAAGUCAGACAAUAAAGAGGAGCUCACAAAGGAGAUGAAAACGCUGAAGAAAAGGAUAAGGAGGGUUGCAACCUGAUGUGACAGGAAUGCAGGAAAUGUUUGGGGGAGUUGCAUUUAUCUAAAAAUACGAAAGGAAAAGGGGAAUGGGAAAAGCUUUAAAAAGUCUUGUGAGAAUGACUCAAGAGAAGACCAUA